This is a long non-coding RNA of Cebus imitator (Panamanian white-faced capuchin), 306 nucleotides long. RefSeq lists it as uncharacterized. Lineage: Eukaryota; Metazoa; Chordata; Mammalia; Primates; Cebidae. The transcript has 3 exons. The record is from RefSeq and is a predicted model, not a curated record.
CAAGAACAGUAAACCAGACACCUCAUUUUCUCAUUUAUAGGAAGAAGAUUAUGGAUAAGUCCCGCAAGAACUAGCAACAGUCACCUAUUAUGUGGACAAUUCUACAAUGCAUGGCCUGGAACAUUGUAAAUGAUUCUUGAAUGUUUAACAUUAAAUGAUAUUAAGAAAUGGACACUGGGCAAGAGCUUCAGCACCAGUUGGGAGAAUUGGUGAUGAUUGUAGUCGGAAAGAAUCCCAAAUAUGUGAUGCUGGUAAUGUCUGGUCAUAAAUAUAUAUUGAGUGUAACUCUUUUCUUAAAAUAAUAAA